UAUGAAAGAAUAGCAGAAACAGGGAACC
Molecule: non-coding RNA, 28 nt
Filed under: Mus musculus (house mouse)
Lineage: Eukaryota; Metazoa; Chordata; Mammalia; Rodentia; Muridae
Source: RNAcentral